Molecule: long non-coding RNA, 1998 nt
Organism: Zonotrichia leucophrys gambelii
Lineage: Eukaryota; Metazoa; Chordata; Aves; Passeriformes; Passerellidae
Exons: 3
Source: RefSeq, a predicted model, not a curated record
AGAUGUCUACUGCAAGGACCAAGAACAGCUAGUGCUUACAGGAGCUGCCUAUGAGGAACAUCAAGGAGGGUACUCCUUCUUUCAGGGACACUUCAAAGCAGGGGACUAACUUGGGCACACCGGGUGGUUUCCCUGAAAGUGUUUUAUCCCUUCAACAGAGUGGAAGAGAAAGAGAAGGAAAAUAGCCACUUGUAGGUUCAUGUUGGUCUUCACUGUCCUUAAAGCUUCAAAAGAUUUGCCUCUAAGACAAGACUAAGUAAGCCAUUGACUCACUGACUUCAGGUACAUGACCAAAGAGAUUUGAAGGAGCCAUGCAUGGGAGAGAAGUGUUUACCUCCUUUACUAUACAUCAGAAGAGAAGAUGUGAUGACCGUUUCUUAAGAACUGAAGCAUGUAAACAUGAAACAUGUAAACAUUAAACAGGGAAUUUCAGCCAGCCAGCCAAGUUAGUUAGACAGUCAACUUAGGUUAAAAAGCCAGUUGUUGUCUCAUUGACUUUUGGAACUGUAUCAUACCAAAAGCAGUUAUAGAAAGGUUCCUAAUCUAUGCUAUGAAAGUGGGCAAUAAUAGGUAGUGUAGUUUUCAUUCAUUUGGUCAGCCUGGGUAAGAUGUUCAGUGCUUAUUAGGUUUCUGCAUAUCCAUCAGUUCUCCUGCCCCCACAUUUUUUUCUCUACUGUGUAAUUUCAGUCAAACUCAACAGGUCUCAAUGACAAUUUUCUCUGAAUACAGAAAAAAAUCACUGAUAGGUCAGACAGUAACACCCUUAGCUGAGGGUAAGUUGGGAGAAAAUAAAAUAUUGCAUUCUCAAUUUUCACCUUACUUUCUGGCUAGCCAGACAAAACAAAUAUAGCAUUGACAAUUCACCCACAUGGCAAGUUGCCUUGGUCAUUGGCACUGUCAGAAAAGAUAGGAGGUUGAUAAGGGCGGAAAUACUGUGACAGAAGAAGGGAUAGAAGGGUAAAAGGGCACAAAAUAUGUGAGCAUUUAAUUCACUAAUGUUUUUUACUAUGUGUCUUGGGUACAGAGACAAGGGUGUUGAGGGUUUCUGUGCUGUCUGUUCAGGUGCCAUUCAUGUUACAGCUGUUGGUGUGGCUCUGGCAGGGAAAAACCCAUGGCCACAACUAGAAAGGGGUCCAUUUCUUCUGGCUCACUGAAGUGGAGGGCAGACCGUGGCACCACACUACCAGCCUUUCCAGGACAUGUCUGCAGAACCAGUAAGGAGAGGCAGCAGGACCAUUCCCAAGCCAAACAGUGCUGAAGUGACAGCUUCAGAACUGCAGCUGGGACCAGCAGAGCAAGGGGCACUGUUCUUCGGUGACCAGUGAGUCUAUUUCCUUCCCCUCAGCAUCCUGGCAGCAGGUCCAACCCUGCACUGACACCAACUGAGCCCAGUGGGUGGCGGGAGGAGGCAGCAAGCAGCAGCACUGACCACACACACACACAUAUGCCUCCACAGUUGCUGAAAGGAAGAAGGACUGACACAAAUAAGGACAGUUGAACGAGAACAGAACAGCACAACUAUUCUAUUUUGGUGAAAUAGAUGAAAGAUGAAACUCAGGCAAAUAUGAGUCAGGCAAAAUGCAAGCAGGAUGCCAGUUUAGCUCUGUGAGCCUGACAAAGCAGAAGUUAUGCAAAACAAUGAUAUUGCACUUACUCGCAAGUGGGAGUCAAGGAACAGCCGCUUAAAAAGGACACCCAACACUGAAGACCCCAAAGAAGUGUGUAAGGAUUUUGAUAAGGGAUGAAAUCUAAGGUAACCCUGCUGGGGUGAAAGUAAUAAGAUUGACCAAUUUUUCUGCUAAGGAUGUCUUCGCUUCCUCUCUCUUCAAAGAAAUGAACAAAAAUAUAUUUACAAUAACAUCAGGAAAAACAAUGCUUAAAAGCAAGAGGAUUUUGAAUUUGUGUGAAUCUGUAAAUUAUAGCUAUGAGACAAUUACACCUACAUGAACAGGCGUAUUGUGUACAUAAUAAAGGGUUGCUGUACCAGGUUCAAAGAAA